AAAUUGAAGAGUUUGAUCAUGGCUCAGAUUGAACGCUGGCGGCAGGCCUAACACAUGCAAGUCGAACGGUAACAGGAAGCAGCUUGCUGCUUUGCUGACGAGUGGCGGACGGGUGAGUAAUGUCUGGGAAACUGCCUGAUGGAGGGGGAUAACUACUGGAAACGGUGGCUAAUACCGCAUAACGUCGCAAGACCAAAGAGGGGGACCUUCGGGCCUCUUGCCAUCAGAUGUGCCCAGAUGGGAUUAGCUAGUUGGUGAGGUAACGGCUCACCAAGGCGACGAUCCCUAGCUGGUCUGAGAGGAUGACCAGCCACACUGGAACUGAGACACGGUCCAGACUCCUACGGGAGGCAGCAGUGGGGAAUAUUGCACAAUGGGCGCAAGCCUGAUGCAGCCAUGCCGCGUGUAUGAAGAAGGCCUUCGGGUUGUAAAGUACUUUCAGCGGGGAGGAAGGUGUUG
Molecule: ribosomal RNA, 459 nt
Filed under: Salmonella enterica subsp. enterica serovar Infantis
Lineage: Bacteria; Pseudomonadati; Pseudomonadota; Gammaproteobacteria; Enterobacterales; Enterobacteriaceae
Also listed under: 15 other names
Description: bacterial SSU rRNA
Rfam family: Bacterial small subunit ribosomal RNA
Source: RNAcentral